CGGACGGGUGAGUAACGCGUGGAAAACCUGCCGUAUACUGGGGGAUAACACUUAGAAAUAGGUGCUAAUACCGCAUAAGCGCACAGCUUCGCAUGAAGCGGUGCGAAAAACUCUGGUGGUAUACGAUGGUUCCGCGUCUGAUUAGCUAGUUGGUGGGGUAAUGGCCUACCAAGGCAACGAUCAGUAGCCGGCCUGAGAGGGUGAACGGCCACAUUGGGACUGAGACACGGCCCAAACUCCUACGGGAGGCAGCAG
RNAcentral lists this ribosomal RNA (255 nucleotides) under uncultured bacterium. Its description in RNAcentral is "partial 16S ribosomal RNA". It matches the Rfam family "Bacterial small subunit ribosomal RNA", at positions 99 to 354 of the family's 1533-position model. The record is from RNAcentral.